RNAcentral lists this ribosomal RNA (259 nucleotides) under Prunus dulcis (almond). RNAcentral describes it as "rRNA SSU_rRNA_bacteria". It matches the Rfam family "Bacterial small subunit ribosomal RNA", at positions 274 to 545 of the family's 1533-position model. The record is from RNAcentral. Lineage: Eukaryota; Viridiplantae; Streptophyta; Magnoliopsida; Rosales; Rosaceae.
AGACGAUUGCUAGCAUUCCCCCUAUCGACUUCCCUCCGUGAAUGGGAGUCUUGUGGGAUUUACAUGAGGUGCAAUUAGGAAGAUCAACCACACUAACUUAGACGCAGCCCAUACUCCUACCGAAGGCAGUAGUGGAGAAUUCUCUGCAAUGGGAGAAAGCUCGAUAGAGCAAUGCUGUGUGGAGGUAGAAGAGGCAAUGAAAGCAUCGACUUUCUUUGUGCUAGCAGCUGCGAUAAAACAGAGGAUUCAAGCAUUAUCU